Molecule: long non-coding RNA, 4309 nt
Organism: Astatotilapia calliptera (eastern happy)
Lineage: Eukaryota; Metazoa; Chordata; Actinopteri; Cichliformes; Cichlidae
Source: Ensembl
AUAUCAAGCAGACUGACUUUAUUUGUAACUUCCAACUUCCAUUGUAAUUAAUCAUCAUUAAUCAUCACCGGGAUCACAUCAGUUAACAGUGUUAUUGCCGCCGUCUCUAUUACCUUCACAGUCACCAUCCGCUCAAAUAAUGAAAUUACAUUAUCUUAAACAGGCCGGUGACGAACGCUUUAAUCUGCUGUGAUAUUGACAAUCUCAUUAUCAGUUACAUAGUAAGUAGCUUAAAUACUGAGGACAUUUUGCUCGACGGUGCUUGAACAGAAAGCCCGGUCUCGGCUUCACACGUCACUGUGUAAGACAAUAAUGCGCUGUAUGUGACAUUAUUGUUUCAAACCCAUAGAGGCUGCAUGUACAUUACAACUACACUGUGGUGACAAUCCGUUUGUUUGACAUUCGAUCACACGCAAUCCAGCAGCAUGAAAUAUUCAGCAGGAAAGGAAAUGUGAACUGAAAUGCGAAGUUAGCGCCGAGACAGCGAGAGAGCUUGCGUACAGGGCAGCGGCAAAGCGGACUAAAUAACGUCAGGCGACACAGUCGACGUUUGCUGCGUCUUUAACCCGUAUCAACACAUUUUUAAACUCAGCCUGACUCUAAUGUGACCUCAAUCAUACAAUCAGCCUUUAACCAGACACUGUGUAUCUGCAGGAUAAUUAUAUAUUGCUUUAAACUUCAGAGGAGGACACGUAAAUACAGCGAGACGACAGUGAUGUGAUUAUAUGCGUUUGAGCUUUUACACGCGACCAUUUUUUGUGCUAUUGAUUAUCGUCUUUCGUGUCGGAGCGGCAGACUGACUGCCUUAAGGUGGUGACACAUCGUUGCAUCAGCGACACACAGCUGCUCUUUAUUGCAGUGCAAAAACAAAGGGCACGGAUACUGUAUCACCGCGGACACAGGGCUCGUUAGACGUAUGCUUUUUCACGUUCCCAAAAGAGCGUGAACAGAACAUUGCUGUUGUAAUUGCUGUUAUCAGGGAGACUUAAUGCAACUCACGCUGUUGUGUUUGAGGUCAAAGGUCAAAAUGCUUGUUAGUAUGUAUGAAUGUUACAAUUAUUGUCUGUAUACGCAGCAAUUUCAGCUGCAUUUCGACAGUCCAACAUGUACAGAGUCAAAGAAAUCCAUUUGUGACACCUGGUCACACUUUUGUAUUUGUUUAGCCAGCAAGGUAUUUAUGAAAAUGAAGGCUCAUCAUGCAGCUGGAAUCCACGUGACUUCAAGUCAAACCAUUUAACUUUUUUUUUUAAAUUGUUUUUUACGGUGUUUGACAAACUUGGUAUGACUACUCGACUCACCCCAUGACCACGAGAAAAACAGUAACAGUAUUGACAACAAUACAUCGGUCAUAAUUGCUAGAGCAUUUUAUAAGAUAUUCAAGUGGUGACGUUGGUGAAACGGUGGAAAAUGAGAGCAGGAUUUUGUGUCUGAGCGAAGAAAGAAAAGCGUGUAUGAGAAAGGAAACCGUCGUGCAUUCGACUGCUCUAAGAGGAGUGUUGAACACAGUCCAACUUCCUCCGUGUCGCUUUGUGUCGUGCAGCGCAAAACGGCCAGACGAUAAGUUGUUUGUGUAGGUGAAAUGGAAGCUAGGUCACAAAAUGUUAAAAAUGUCUUUGUCUAAUAGUGUAGCGCCCACUGCUUGUGGUUAUACGUUCAGAAAGCCGCUUAGCAACACAUACAAGUCCAGCCAGAAGCAGGGGCAUGAGCAAUACUGCUCGGCAACACAUUCAGUCACAGUUAAAGGAAAAGAAUAAAAUCAGCAGAGGCUGAGAUGAUUAAAGCACAAUCAGAUCAGACACAAGCGACGUCAACCAGUGAUGUCACAGCAUGUGCUUUAAAAAUAAAUAAAUCAAUUAAAAAAAAAAAAAGGAAAAUCUGCAGCUAAACAAAUCACCUGGUUUCACAUCACCAGCUGGUGUGUACAGAUGCUUAAGUCUCAAACCCACAAAGCAUGGGACAGCAGCUGUUUUCUACACUGGGUCGCUGUUGGUGGUUUAUCCCCAUUAACCUUCAUAUAUAUAAGGCUCUGCUGCCAUCUGGUGGAUGAAAGUCACGUGCCAGGUUCUAUCAGGCAAACCACCAAGUAUUAAAAACAUUCUAGGUGGAUUUACACGUGAACAGCACCUCAGCUAUGAAACAAUUAACAAACAUUUGUAAGAAACAAAAAUGUGCAUGUUGAUGAUGAAGUUUAGUCGCUUCAUGUAAAUGUUUGCUUCUGCCCCACAGUCCACGAGCACAGAUCACACUGUUGCACAUUGUGUGGAUCUGGUGAAGCCACCUGUGUGAGCUGUUAAUGUGCAUGUAUAUAAGCGCAGGCAUUCUCUGUAAGUUUUUUACUUUUUUUUUUGCUUUGGCAUGUUGAUGGAUUUAUGAAGAAAAGCUUUUGUUGUCCCAGGAACGCAGCAAUUAACUGAAAUCCUGAGCAGAAAACGUUGGCAACACAAAGGCAGCGUAGCAGGAAAGUUCCAUGCUUUCAGUGUGUGUGUACGUGCGCGCAUGUUUGUGUUUGGAGACUGCAUGUGUGCGGUGAUUAUGGGUUUUGGGAUGAAUGCCACUCUAGUCUAAAACAAGCUGUAGUAAUGGCCGCUUUACUGCUGUGACUAAACAUGCAAGCGCGAGUGUGAGUGUGUGUUUGUGUAAGACAUCAUGGGCACAAAGAUCUCUUGGCACACCUGAAGUGGCUGACACACUUUUGACACACUCAGAGAUACUAAAACAUGAUAUAAAUAUCCAGUAACAACAAGUAUUAGUGUAAUACACUUAUUUAAGAUGAACAAAUGAGCAAAUAAGACUUGUAAGCAAGUAUAACUGCAUCCAAACCACAACUUGAGGCUCAUCAACCCAAGCUGACUGGGCCAGGAGCAUUGUCAGUUUUACAAAAAUAACAAAAAUAAUAAUAAAAACCAGCAAAGAUAAGUGUAAGCUUACAAAAGCAUCUGGAUCACUUAAACAACCUGAAAAACGUCUACAAAUGUAGAUGAUAUAAAAGUAGCAAAUCACUGACUGAACUGACAGAUUCAGGUUUUCAGUUAGAGCUCGUUACUUUUCACCGCGAAGAUCAAAAACACAUACUGAACAGUAGCCACGUUAUUACAGUGAAACAAAAGUCCGAGAAUUAGUGAGAACAAUGCGAUUAUACAAAUAAAUGAACACAGGAGUGUGUUCGGUGCUUUUUCCAGUGCUUCUUUUUGUUUAGGGACAUGAAUGGAGUCAGUUUUAUCCACAGGUCAAUAGACUGAGAUAAUGACUGAUUAUGUAAAAAUAAUUGUCAUUUUAAUCUCACAUUUUCAGCAUUUUUCCACUUCUUCGCUCCUCGACAGUUUUGCUUCCCCUCAUUAUUUGCGCCGAUUCCCUCCCAAAAGCUACACAAGAUCCAGUGUGUGUGAAUGUGUGUCAGAGUGUGCGUGCAUGUAUGUGUCCCCUACGCCAAAACCAGGUCAGCAGUCAUGCUCCACUUUCUCUCUCCAGAAAGUUGCGAUGAGAGAACUUUUCCCCGUUGUCUCUGCUCGAUCCACAUCCGUGUCUGCGUGCGGUAAACGUGUCCGUUUACUGCCAUCGCUCGCAAAGUUGAUCCAGCAUUGUUUCUGCCUCGUGGCUCUUUACUCGGCUCUUUCCGUGUGCUUUUCAUUCCCUUGUGAACAGGAAGCAGAGAGAGAGAGAACGAGGGAGACGCUUCCGACAUCAGAUAGUGGCUGGAGUGACCUCUGAAGGGCGCUAUGCAGGAAAGGUCAACAAAUGUUCAUCGAACUACUUUAGCGUGUUUAGUGUGCUUUGGAAAGUAUCAGCAUCAAAGCACUGAAGGUCUCACUGUCUGUGCCGAUUGCCUCUCCUGGGCUGAGACGUGACAACGCAGGAAGUAGGACACAGCUAUCCAUGCCCUUGUCUACAUACGUCUAAAAUAUCUGAAUCGGUGCAGAUUGUUCAUCGAUCGCUACUUUUUGGCACUGCGUUUUGCAACGAUAGCCAUAUUUGCUACACAGCUAUUAGUAGCUAACAUGCAUCUCUAUGCCAGCAAACGUUUACACAUUUUAUGCUGAGGCGAUGUUUUUCAGAGAGCACUGUUUCUUAUUUGCAGAUGAUUCUCAGAGAGUAGGAGGUAGCAGAGUUAGGGCCACAGUUCUUUCACAGGGCUGAUAAUGACAGAUCGUUAGUGGGAGUUAACCUCAUACUGUAUUUCCUCAUUCGCAAUUUUGUUGUCUGUGCGAUAAAAAAGGAAGCAAUUAAAUCUCUGAUUGCUGCUUACUGUAAGUGUUACUUCCCAUGCAGUCCAAUCUUAUGGACAUAAAUGAGAUAAAGAGGUCAUUUUCCA